RNAcentral lists this long non-coding RNA (3510 nucleotides) under Olea europaea subsp. europaea. Lineage: Eukaryota; Viridiplantae; Streptophyta; Magnoliopsida; Lamiales; Oleaceae. The record is from RNAcentral.
AAAAUUGUUCGGAAAAAAUGCUUUUAUUAUGUUUGGAUAUCUCAAAUUCGAAGAUUUAAUGAAUUUGCACUAACACCUGUCCUUAAAACAUUUCUAUAAUUCAUCCUGAGCCAGUUAUGCUACUAUAUAGUUUUUCGGAUUCCAGUGUUAAGUUCUGUUAUGACCUGUCUUCUUUAAUAGUUUGGCAUUGUAUCUCCCAUUAAUUGUAGAAUGAUGUACUAGACAGAAGUUGCUUUAUUGUUGCAUGUGGUAUGGUUUUAAUUGCACGUCUAUCUGAUAAUUAAAAAGCUGACUUAGAGGAUGUUUGGUGGGGAUUAAAAUUAGAUUUUUUAGUAGAUUGCGAUAGAAGUUUUUGAAAUGUGUUGUUGAAAAGUUGUGAGACCAAUGAAAGAUGUGGUUAAUAUUUAACUUUGACUUAUAUUAAAAUCAUAUUUUAAUCCUAACCAAACAGGCUCUUAGACUAAAAUUUUCUUAUAAGUGAAUAAAUUUCAAAAUAAAUAAUUCUAUUCGUGGUAUAAGUUGGAAAUAACUAAGUAUUUACUUUGUCACUAAGGUAAGACUUACUUCCAAAAGGUAACUUUUUUUUACUUGGAAGUAAGAAAAAAGUAGGUUAUUCAAACAUGUUUAGAGGCUAAAUGUUACUUUUACUUUCUUUUUUAAGUUUAGCCAACGUGCUUUUAGUAUUUUGUAAGGUACUUACGCUUUGGUUAGUUCUUUAACCAUGUCAAUGCCUUACUCGACAAACAAGUUUAAAAGAGUCAAAACUUUGAUCUUCAAAUACGUUUCACUAUCGCUCCAUCGCAUAAUAACUGUUGCAAUUUCAUCAAAAAGUUGUCCCAUUAGGGUCUUGCCUUUUCAUUUAAAGCAAGCUUUCCACAUAUAUUCAAACAACGAUUUUAAAAUUUAUGGGACCCACUUAAGUUCAAGAUAUACUUGAAACAAUCAAUUCAAUCACCUUCAGAAGCUUGGUCUGUCUCAAUAUGCCUUUUGUUAUAUUUAUGAGUUUAUCUCACUUAUUAAGUUACUAAUUUUUUUUUUUUUUUGGCACUGAUCAUGCUUUAGGUAAACAAUAUUGACGCUGAAGAAAGACUUACAGUUGCAGAUGCUUUGGUAUAUGCUUGCAACCAAGGAGUGGAUAAAGUACACUUACAUGCCUUUACUUUUGCAUCUCUUUGGAAAACACCAUUUUUAUGGGUUUUAUUCUCUCAUCAGUUGUCCAUGUAUUUCGUUUUCUGGAACGAGUACCUAAAACGCACGAGAUAUAUGAUACACAAAUUUAAAACCUUUGAAUAAGUCAUGACACUAAAAUUUUAGGGUUCACUUUGGAUUUUGAUAUGUGUUUUUAAUCAUUUGCAGAUCGUUGAUUUGGCCACAUUGACUGGGGCUUGUUUGUUGCUCUUGGGCCCUCUAUUGCUGGUAUGUAAUUUAUAAAUCUUAUUUGUCCUGUAUUCUUUGAGAACCACCUCCGAUCCAAUAGAUUUUUUGGCUUCUUUUCAAUUUGAAAUUCAUAAAAUGUUCUUAACAUGGAGAUUCGUUGUGAAGAUCCUUGCACUGGCUUAUUCUUGAUAUAAAAAAUCAGGUGUUUUUACACCCAGUGAUGACCUGGCAAAUGAGGUAUUUGCAGCUUCAGAGGUUAGUGGGGAAAAACUUUGGUGGAUGCCCCUGGAGGAAAGUUAUUGGGAGUCCAUGAAAUCUGGAGUGGCUGAUAUGGUGAACACCGAUGGUCGCCAAGGUGGUUCCAUCACUGCAGCUCUUUCCUUGAAGCAGGUAUAGCUUCCUCCGCACCCCUUAUUCCAUGCUGAAGAUUAAGUUUGUUUUACGUUUUAAGCUUUUUACAUACAAUUUGAAAAAGAACUAUGGAAUUGCAAUUCUCGAACAAGCAAUCGAAAAGAUUCUGGAGCAUCCUCCAUUUUAGUUGUUACGAUAAUUGCCUAAGUUGUAGUUUUGAACAAUUCUUAUAGCAAGUCGAUUUCAAAUCUAGAAUAUUGGCUAUUCCGAAAAGAAUUUCAAAAUUUAACCAAUGGGCUUCUUUUUCUGAUGGCAAAAAAUAAUAAAAUAAAAAAAUCUUGUUAUGUUCCUUUUAAUCAGAGGAAAUCACUUGAUUGAAUAUGGAAAAAUUGGGUGCUGCCAUGUAGCUUAAUAUCAGCUAUGUUCAUGAGUUGAAGAUGCAUGGGUCAUUAGUGGGAGUUUAGUUUGUGCAUGGGCGUGGGUUACUUAAGUGUCGCAACAACUGAUACUCAUUUGGAGAUGUUUGCAAAUUUGACCAAUUGAGGCAGGUGAUUUUUUUAGUUGGCAAACUAACACUCCAAAUGGUGAAAGAAUCGCCCCCUCUCCAUGUCUACUGGAUCUGUUCUUGGGGAUAAGGAAAUUUUUUAUGGAUCAUUGGACAUUUUAGUUCAUCUGAAGGUCUAGAUAUGAUUGCAUAGAUUCUCUUCUUGUCUUUCCUUAAAUUACAUUUUUCCCUUCCCCUAGUUUUCUACUAAAUUCUGCAUUUUUAUUUCAUGAAUUUGAACCUCUGCACUUCAUGAAAACAGAUUUUCUUCCGAAUUUCUUAGAAAAAUUUAUUAGAUAAUACGUGUUAUAUUCCAAAGUUAUCCCAGUUCUAGCCUCUAUAAAUGCUGUAUACCAUAAGAAUUUGUUUGUAAGGUGGACUAUACAAUACUAGGCACUAUUAAGGAAGAAAAAAAUGUUAAAUCUAGUCUAUUGUAUUGCGUACCAAAGAUGUUCUAAAAGUUCUCUAAAUGUAUACCUUACAACGCUUUGUGUUUGUGGGGUGGGGGGCCCUAAUAAAGUGAAACCCAAAUGAGCUCCGACUAAUAAUAGAUUAAGAAACGAAAGCACGUGUUUGAGACUAUAAGUUGUUCCCUAGUCUGUCUCAGUGAAGGCACCUGACAUGUAACUCCGUACAUGCAGUUUGUUGAUGAGAAGGUCCAGUGGAUGCACAUUGACAUGGCUGGCCCGGUUUGGAAUGAUAAGAAGAAAAUUGCAACUGGUUUUGGUAUUUCAACACUGGUUACAUGGGUUCUAAAGAAUUCUUCUUAGUUUGGGUGUCCGUGGGGCUGCUCAGAGGACAAAUACCUUAUAUCUGAAGUCGAUUCAAGAAAAAAUGGAAAAUUCUUAUUCAGGUUGUUCGAUGGCUGGGGUGUCGAGUUAUACUAAUAAAGAUGGUUAGAGAAGAAAACGAGGCCGUUGCUGCGUUCUGGAGUCGUGAACUCUUGUUACUGUUCCUUUAUAUUAUGAGAAGUUUCUUUUAUUUUUGGCCCUAUCAUCUUGUUCCUGGGAAAAUGAAAAUAUCCCAUGUUUCUGCAUGCAAAAUGUGAUGUAAAAUGAACGCAGAUUGUUCUCGAACUUUCCUCAGCAUGGUUUACCCCAGCAUAGCUUACCAAGGCUUGAUCUCGGGCAGGAUAAAAAAAUUUCAAUGCUAAUGUGACAAUAGAAUCUUAGUUAUGACUGUAGCAAAUUUUUAUUCUAUCCACUAAGGCAGGAGAUUAAUUUCAAUAUUUUACCACA